UACGGAGGGUGCGAGCGUUAAUCGGAAUUACUGGGCGUAAAGCGCGCGUAGGUGGUUAAAUCAGUCUGAUGUGAAAGCCCUGGGCUUAACCUGGGAAUGGCAUUGGAUACUGUUUAACUGGAGUGUGGGAGAGGGUAGUGGAAUUUCCGGUGUAGCAGUGAAAUGCGUAGAGAUCGGAAGGAACACCAGUGGCGAAGGCGGCUACCUGGACCAACACUGACGCUGAGGUGCGAAAGCGUGGGGAGCAAACAGG
RNAcentral lists this ribosomal RNA (253 nucleotides) under uncultured bacterium. RNAcentral describes it as "partial 16S ribosomal RNA". It matches the Rfam family "Bacterial small subunit ribosomal RNA", at positions 524 to 776 of the family's 1533-position model. The record is from RNAcentral.